UUGGAAAGCUAAUAGGCUAUAAAAUAUGGCAGGCGGUGGCGACCCGAAAUGGCAGAAAGAUGCUUCAGACCAGAACUUUGAUUACAUGUUUAAACUUUUGAUCAUUGGAAAUUCGAGUGUUGGCAAAACAAGCUUUUUAUUCCGUUAUGCUGAUGAUUCAUUCACAUCGGCAUUCGUAUCAACCGUUGGCAUUGACUUCAAAGUGAAAACUGUUUUUCGACAUGACAAACGAGUAAAAUUGCAGAUAUGGGUAAGUAAAUUUGCUACAGAU
Bradysia coprophila is the source of this 271-nucleotide RNA transcript. It is a transcript of the gene named ras-related protein Rab-3 pseudogene, with no coding region annotated. NCBI's taxonomy places the organism in Eukaryota, Metazoa, Arthropoda, Insecta, Diptera, Sciaridae. The record is from RefSeq and is a predicted model, not a curated record.